RNAcentral lists this long non-coding RNA (24803 nucleotides) under Populus trichocarpa (black cottonwood). RNAcentral describes it as "long non-coding RNA (PTRI_LNC001546)". Lineage: Eukaryota; Viridiplantae; Streptophyta; Magnoliopsida; Malpighiales; Salicaceae. The record is from RNAcentral.
UUCGAUGCUAGCUGCACGAUUUGCUUGCUGGAGAGCGAUUUCCCCAAUGAACAGCUCUCGUCUAAAAUCUGUGUUCCUACAGAGAGGAGAAGAGGAGAGGUUUUCUUCGUCUUGACAAGGUUGUAAUAUUUCUCAGUAGCUUUCCACCACGUGGCAACAGAGGGUUGGGCUGUUGUGGGUCUUCUAGAAGAGACAGAGGCAAUAAAAUCUGAGACAAUGGCACGCUGAGAUGGCUUGAACUUGCCAUACCAGAUCAAGUUGAUCGAAAUUUCACCGGUAAGAAGAGGGCCAUUGUGGUAUUGAAAUAACAAGGGAUCUUGGCUUUGAUCUGACACGGAGAAUGUCCUUGCUGCUGAGCUGAAUUGUAUAAUAGAGAUUAACAGAACAAGUUGAAGAAGAGAAUGUGAAGAAAGAAAGGAGGCCAUGAUUGAUCUGAUGAUCGGUAGUGAUGGAAGAGAGGAUUUUGUGAGUGGAGAGAAACGGAGGAGGAGAUUGGGUAUAUAUAUUCUCAGGGAAGGGUUGAAAUCUUAGGGAGGGAAGCUACGCGGAGAGUGGGUUGAGAAUUGAAAGUGGGCAAGUGGUGACAUGACAGGUAAAUAGCGCGUUGCUUCAUUGGUAACUUAAUGAGCGCGCGGCUACUCUCGUUUUCAACUGCAUCUAUUGUUAACAAACAUUACAGUGCUUGGCCAGCUAAGAGAGGACCAGGGACCGAAAGUGAAUGAGAUAGCUUUUUGUAGACAGCUCCGCUCAUGAAGCCGCGAAAAAACCUCGCAAGAAAAUUAGGAUUUCCAUUGCUUGGUUAAUAGGUUUGACUAGUGGUUGUUCUAAUCGCCUAAAAAAUAACUCUCUUGAUAUACAUAAAAUUAUCUGAUAUUUAAAUCAGUAAUAUGUAUGUUGAGAAAAACAAAUAUAAAAUUAAAAAAAGUUAGGGAGUGGGCAUCUAACUUAAAUGGACUAGCCUGGUUUUGCGUGGCUUUCGUUUUGCAUGGCUUUAAUGAUCUUCGACCUGCUUUAGCUGGGAUUGUCUUGCUAGAAAUUACUCAUUAGCUUCUAGACCUAGUUGUGUGUUGUAGUUUCCUUGCGUGGUGUUGUGGUAUUUGGGUGUAUUUAUACAUCUAGGCCUUGAAAAGUUUUCAUGGAGAAGAUAUUAUGUCAUCGGUGAAGAAAUUGAUGCUUAAGCUAGUCAUCCAUUAGAAAGGAAAAAAAAAAAGGUGUAAGUCAUAUUUAUUUAUCUUUUACUUUUAAGGGAAUGAUUGUCUUUUUAUUUUAGAAUUCCAUUGCCAUUAACAGCUAUGUCUCAAUUUAUUGGCUGUAAAUUUUAAGAUUUAUUUUUUUUGUAUAAAUAACAUCUUUAUAUUUAUCGGUUAACAUAAUUAUUGAUGUGAAUCCCACGAAUAUAAAGCUAUGAAAACCAACAUUUAAAUUGACUAUUCUAAAGAAAGUUAUGAUCAUGUUUGGAAUUGAGCUUGACACAACGAUAACUUGUGCUGAGACACCAAAACUAUAAGUAAUCGAACUCUCACUCAUCGCCUAUAAAGAGACGCGAACGAGAGUAUAGAAGACAGUAUAAAGCUUGAUUAAUUCUUUGAUAAGUCAUAGCAGUUCAAUGAAGAACUAAAAGGUAUGAGCAAAACCUCUCACACACACAAUAAUAAUUACUGAAAUUAAAGUCUGUCCCCCAAAAAAACCCUAAAUAUAAGCUAAAUAACCCUAUUUAUAAUAUGUAAAAACUUUAUUAACAAUGCUGAAAAAAUAAUAAAAGAGUUCUAAAUAAAAUAAGAAAAAAAAUCCUGAAUCAACUAGGAAAUUAAUAUAAUUUUUGCGUAGUAGCUUCUAGACCUUAUCGCAAAGCCUUUCUGGUCUCCGAUUGCUUUAGUAUUUUAAGUAAAAAUAGAAAAAAACCUCUGAAAACUCCAGGUAAAAUUUCAGCCUAAUGCAUUGUUACCAAUUAUGGUUUAAAAAUUAUAAUUGUUAGAGUAAAACUGUGUAUUAGUAAAAACAAACCCCAAACCGCCUCUAAUGCCAAAAUUAAUUAGCCCAUCAUUGUGAAAUAAUGAGGCCCAUGUUGUAAAUGGAUCGAACUCCUCAUGCACAUAUAUUAGAUUGACUAAGAUCUAAUCAUCACUUGUUGAAGUUGUAACUUUCUUGAAAUUUACUUUGGAUCAAUUACUCUAAAUAAGCUCAUUAAAUGCAUCUUUAAGCUUCUUUACCCUUGAUCUUAUCAUUGGCCCGAUUGGAACUUCUAAUAGAUUCUUUGGUGUAGUCUGGAUUGUAUCAAUCAUGAUAUAGUGAAACACACUCACAAUAAUGUUCCAUUUUUCUACUAUAUUAAAAAUUAACUUGAGAUCAUACAUGUUUUUAUUAAUGCACAUGAUCCUUGUUUUAUUUUAUUAAAUAUAAGCAUUGGAUUUUCAAUUUAUAGUUAUAUUUUUUACUCGAUGUCAAAAAACACGUUAACAACACCUACUUAUUCAUUCUUUUGCAUUAGAUUUUUUUUUGUUUCAUAUUUAUUGACAUAAAUGAUUCGAUUUAUUUAAUUAAAUGCUUGUAUAUGCUUUUUUUAUUUAUUUAUGAUUAGGAUUUUUUUUAGUUAAAAGAAAUGUUGAAAAGGUUGCAUAUAUAUUUUUUUUGUCAAAAAACAUUAUUCAAUCCAUGACGAAGCGCAAGUCAAAUAGCUAGUUUAGCCUAUUUGGUGUGUCGCACGUGUGCGGCGUCACGGCGGGUAUUCCACUUUAUCAGGAAAUGUAUAAUAUCUAUCUGGCAAAUAUUGAGAGACAAGAAAUUCUUGUCUUUUAUCAGUGAAAAAUGGAAUGGGAGUCGCCACCUAGUAUUUUGGUCACUAGGAACCCUAACUGGUCUCAGAGAUCGGGUACGGGGAUUGGUUCCGUAAAGGGAAGGUAUUAGCACCCCAAAUAUAUCUUACCUAAGGUAAGAUGCAUUGUUUGAUUGUUUGAUAAAAAGCUAAGGUGUUAUUUAACUAUUGGUCUGUCUAGAGUUCAAGAAAAGUCCUCCUCAAUAAGGAGGUCCUUAUCUUAUCGGGUAAAAUUCUAACCGUUCUAACGUCUAUACAAAAAAACUAUAAUUUUAACAUCAGGAAUACGUUUUACAUAAAAAUUCGUAAUCCCAGAUACUAAAAAAAACAAAAAGAUUCUUUUAGAAUUUUUGAAAUAUUGGCCUAGUUCUCGUGGUUCUAACAAACUUGUUGUUAAAGCCAAAGUGCAUGCUAAUACAUAUAUUUUUUAAAUUUCUUUUGUUGUAUGAAAAUAUGAUGUGAUAAUUUUUUCUUUAUUUUGGAGAGACUAGGCCGUAUGCAUUAAAACAAAAACACUUUUUUUUAUUUUAUAUUUUUAUAUUUUUUUUGGAUGUCUUGAUGAAAAUCGGGUAUUUUAAUACUGGAUUUAUAUCUUUACGGUAUAAAAAUACAAACCAAUAUUAAGCAAUUGUGAUAAAAAUAUGCAGGAAAAUCAACAAUAUUUUUUAGGAUUUUUCAGAAUUUUUUAAAAUUUUUUUGGAUAUAUAUCUAUAUAUAUAAAUAAUAUAAAAACAUUAUAAUAAAUAAUACAUAAUAUUAGGUGAGCUAGGCUGGGCCGGCCCAACUAACUGGGCCGGCCUCAGCCCCAAAAGGGUUGGGCCGAUCUCGGCCCAACAAAAUCUCCUAUCUUUGUCUGGGCCAAACCCGGCCCAGACAGUAGGGCUGAGCCAGAAUCAGUCUGGCCCACAAACACAUUAGAACUGGGCCAGAAGCGGCCUGGCCCAGUUAAAGAAAACCAUCAGUGCUGGGCCAGAACCAGCCUGGCCCAGCACUGGAAAACCAACGGGGGGGAAUUAUUUUCCCCCUCCCAUCCUCCUACAUGCAGCACGAAUGUUCUGCAUGCAGGAGGAAAAGCGGGCAAAUAAAAGAGAUAAAAGGGGGGCAGAAGAGUGUACCUGGAGCGGUGGAGGCGGUGGCGGUGUCGCGGCUGACAGACGGCGACUGACUGCUUCGCUGGCGGUGCUGCGGGGGGAGGCCGGUGGCGAUGUCAUGGCUCACGGACGGCGACUCCCAAGCGACGGUGCUACUGUUUCAGGUGGAAGAAAAAAAAAAGCUUCUGCUCUUCCCUUCUCCUCCUUUUCCUCCUCCUCUUCUGCUACGUUUCCUUUCCCUUUUGUUCCGUUUAGAUAUGGCUUUUCAAAACCCGAACGCUUCCGGUGUCAGUGUCGUUUUUUCCUUAACUCUCACGGUCCCCUUUCCUUUACUUCUCACUGUCCCUCUCGGUAUGUUUUCCCAGUUUUCUUUCCCCUCUUUUUUGGUCUGUUCUCUCCUCUCCUCUCUUCGGUUCCUUCCCUUUUCUUUUCUAUUUUCUCUUUUCCUCCCCCUUUCCCCCCUUUUCGCGUGCUGGCGUUGGGAGGUAUUUAUAGGGCAAAAGGGAGCGGGGGCGUCCCUAUUGCCACCCUAUGGCAGCGCAUAGGGAGCAGGGCUGGCUGCCCUGCCACAGCGCCGGGUUGGCUGGGCUGUGGGCGUGGCUGGCAGGGCGCGACUCCCUUGGUGUAUCAUCAUGAGAGUGUGUGGGGUUUCGGGAAGUGGCAGGCAUGUGGCGUGUAGGGUUCAUUGAAGAAAGAAGAAAAAACUGCCUUCCCCUGCUGCACGUCUAGGGGAAAGAGAAAGGGGAACAAUGUCGUUUUGAACGACACUGUUUUUUUUAUAAAAAAAACAUGAAACGACGCCGUUUCAUUUAAAGGUGGCACCAGCAUUUGUUUCCCAAAUCAGUCCUUAAUUUAUCCUUUGUUCUUUUAAGUCCUCACAAUGUAAUUUUGAUUUUAAGAAUUAAUUCAAUUGCAUCCCUGCCAAUUUCAGUCUCCGCCCCUAUAAUUGGCCGCGCUUUUCACUUCAGUCCUUAGUCUCUGAUUUAUGUAAUUGGACCCUCAAUUGAUCAAUAAACUUUCAAUUUCUUCAAUUUAGUCCCUGAUUUUGUUAAUUACAGCCCCUAUAUUUACGCGCCUUUUCCAAUUUGGUCCUUGAUUUCGUAUUUCCUCAAUUAAGUCCCUAAUUGACCAUUAAACUUCAAUAUUUAUACAAUUAAGCCCCUGAUUUGACCAAAUCAACUCUUAAAAAUUAUAAUUUGACCCCAGAACUUUAAUUUCUUCCAAUUAAAGCUCAAAUUGACUUAAAAAUCAACUUUUCUUGCAAUCAAACCCUUUAUAAAUUCAAUUAAACCUUCAAUAAAAUCCAAUUAAGUCCAUAAACAUCCAAUUUUGGACUUUUCACUUCAAAUUAAAUUUUCUUUUCCCACAGGGGUCUCAUCAUUCAAGUAUAUACUGUAAAAAAUUUCAAUCCUUGUAUUUUUUAACCUCCUUAAUCAAUUUUUCUGAUCCUUUCCUGAGCGCUCCAACCUCCUAUUAUUUUUCUAAUUUCUUCCGGCUAUAUAUUUAUAUUUUUAUUUUUAUUUUUGUGUGGGGACCCAAAAAAGGGUUACAACAGAUACCCCCUCUUUAUAAUACUUACGGAGCAGGGGUUUUGCGUGGUAAGUUUUAUAAAGAUAAACAAAACUGAACUUCCAAAACUUAGUCAUCUUGAGAUCCCAAUCUGGCGAUCCUCUGACUUCUAACUUCGAUUAGACUAACUUGGAAUUCCAUCUGAGAUCCCUUCUAGCGACCUCUUUUAACCAAAAAAUCUAUAUUUGUAGCUUGGCCAACCUGAAAUCCCAUCUGGCAAUUUCUUUUAGCCAGAGCUAAUAUCUGUGUUGUGAUUGGGUUAACCUGAGAUCCCUUCUGGCGACCUCCUUUAACCAAAACCAAAAACCUAUAAUUAUAGCUCAAUCAACCUGGAAUCCCAUCUAGCGAUUCCCUUUUACCAAAAGCUGAAAUAUGAGAUCCCUUCUGGCGACCUCCUUUAACCAAAACCGAAAUAUGAGAUCCCUUUUGGCGACCUCCUUUAAGCAAAACCAAAAAACUAUAUUUGUAGCUCGGUCAACCUGGAAUCCCAUCUGGCGAUUCCCUCUAACCAAAGCUAAAAUAUGAGAUCCCUUCUGGCGACCUCCUUUGACCAAAGCUGAAAUAUGAGAUCCCUUCUGGCGACCUCCUUUAACCAAAUCCAAAAUAUGAGAUCCCUUCUGGCGACCUCCUUUAAGCAAAACCAAAAAACUAUAUUUGUAGCUCGAUCAACCUGGAAUCCCAUCUGGCGAUUCCCUCUAACCAAAGCUGAAAUAUGAGAUCCCUUCUGGCGACCUCUUUUAACCAAAGCUGAUAUCAGUAUUGCGGUUGGGUUAACCUGAGAUCCCUUCUGGCGAUCUCCUUUAACCAAAACCAAAAAAUCUAUUUUUGCAGCUCGGUCAACCUGGAAUCCCAUCUGGCGAUUCCCUUUAACCAACGCUGAUAUCGAUGUCGUUCUUCCUGAUGGUAGGGUUUGAACCUUUCAUUUUCUUUUGAAAAUUUCCUAAUAGGUUCUUCUCACUUUAUUGUUGUUCCAAAAUCAAAACCGUGAUUCUUUGUUAUCAUUAACCCAAUGAUUCUUUCUUCAUCCACAAUCUUGUUGGAUUACAUUAAAGAUUCCUCCUGUAACGAUUCAAAAACAUAUAUGCAAUGAUUUAUGAUUAGAUGCCAUGCCUGUAUUCUUACCUGGUUUUGAAACAUAGGUCCCAUCAUCUUCUUCUAUUUCAUGAAACUCUCUCUUGACAUGAGCUUGCUUUUGAAGUCGUAUGCUGGAUUCAUUUUUAGUGCCGCCUAUCAUAUCUUUGAGAAGAAGUUCUUCGACUUUUUACAAGUAGCUUUUUUUUGAAAAUGUAUGAUUUGUCAUUGCCUUCUCUGUCAUGCUCUUGUCAAAUGCUUUAGCUUAAUUUUCAAAUCUAUGGGCUUCUGUCCCGUUUCAAAUACGUAAAACUUUUCGUGAAACAUCACUUAUUGCCCCCAGUGUAGGGGUGUGAUCCUAGUCUGGGCUUUUAUAUAGAGAAAAAAUCCAUUCAGUCAAUGAUAAACUUUUUAGUGAGUGAUGCGAUAACGAAAGGUGAAUUUUGUUUUUCAACGCAUUGUUAGGAUUAAUGCAAAAAAAAAGAUUCUCUAUUCUUAUCUUUUUUUCUCUUCUCUUCCCCUUUUUAAGAUUCACUUAUUGCCCCCAGUGUAGGGUGUGAUCCUAGUCUGGGCUUUUAUAUAGAGAAGAAAUUCAUUCAGCCAAUGAUAAACUUUUUAGUGAGUGAUGCGAUAACGAAAGGUGAUUUUUUUUUUAUUUCAACGCAUUGUUAGGAUUAAUGCAAAAAAAAGAUUCUCUAUUCUUAUCUUUUUUCUCUUCUCUUCCCUUUUUUAAGAUUCUUCUUUCUAGAAAACAAAUUGAGUGUUGUGAGAUCAAUGCAAAAAGAAAGAAGUCGAUGGCCAAACUUUGCUUCAUUGAUUUAGGAGCAUACAUCAAACAUAAUAUCUUUUUACAGAGUCGGAGUUCACAGGCCUAGCUAGGUCUCCUCCAUCCAUUCUAGCCAACUUCAGCGCUCCUCCUGAGUAUGCCUUCCUUACUACGUAAGGACCCUCGUAAUUUGGUGCCUAUUUGCUUUGAUCUUCUCCGGGUAACGACAAUAUUUUCUUCAACACUAGAUCCCCUUCUUGAAACAACCGUGGUCUAACCUUUUUAUCAUAUGCCUUGGCCAUGCGUUUCUGGUAAAGUUGAUGAUGACAUAUUGCAGCUAUCCUCUUUUCGCCGAUCAGGUUCAGUUGUUCAUAUCUCACUUUGGCACACUCAGCCUCUUCUAGUUCGGAAUCCAUCAAUACUCUUAACGAUGGGAUUUCCACUUCCAAUGACAUCACUGCCUCCAUACCGUACACCAAAGAAUAUGGGGUAGUCCCUGUCGAGGUCCUGACUGCAGUGCGAUAUGCAUGGAGAGCAAAUGGCAACAUCUCAUGCCAAUCUCUAUACGUGACGACCAUUUUCUAAAUAAUCUUUUUGAUGUUCUUAUUGGCGGCUUCUACUGCGCCAUUCAUUUUUGGCCGGUAUGGCGAGGAAUUUGAAUGCUUGAUCUUCCACUUGGUACACAACUCCACUAUCAUUUUGCCAUUGAAAUUCUGUGCAUUAUCGGUCACUAUCUUUUCCGGAGGACCAUAUCGACAAAUCAAGUCCUUUUCUACAAACCUCUUCACUACCUUCUGUGUUACGUGGGCAUACGAAUUAGCUUCCACCUAUUUGGUGAAGUGGUCAAUAGCCACGAGGAUGAAUCUAUGCCCAUUGCUAGCUUUUGGGUUAACAGGACCGAUCACAUCAAUUCCCCACAUUGCAAAUGGCCAAGGAGAUAUUAGAUUAAAUAGCAGCGCUGGCGGUGUAUUGACCUUAUCACUGUAAACUUGACACUUGUGACAUUUCCUGACAUAAUCAAUGCAGUCUUUCUCCAACGUCAUCCAAAAAUAACCAGCCCUUUGUAUUUUCCUUGCUAUCAUAUGACUGCUAGCAUGAGUUGAGCAAAUCCCUUCACGGACCUCUCGCAAUGCCUUUCUAGCAUCUGUUUCAUUCAAACACCUUAGCAGGGUUCCGUCAAAUGAUCUUUUGUAUAAAAUCUCUCCAUCUAAAUAGAAGUCUAUGGCCAACCUUCUCAAGGUUUUCUUAUCCGUUUUAGAAGCUCCCACCGAAUAUUCAUGAUUCUGCACAAGAUUCUUGAUAUCGUAAUACCAAGGCUUUCCGUCUAUCUCUCCUUCAACUAAGCAACAGUGAGCUGGGUCGUUUCUAAUGUCAAUGUGUACAGGUUGUACCUUAUAUUUGAGAUCAAUGGUAGUUAUAGCAGCUAGCGUGGCCAAAGCAUCCGCAAAAUGGUUUCCCUCCCUUCCUAGAUGGGUGAAUUUAAUCUCUUCAAAUUCCUUUGCUAGUGUGGAUAAGUAUUCCUGGUACGGCCUUAACUUUUCUUCCUUGGUCUGCCAUUCCCCUUUAACCUGACAGAUAAUCAACAUUGAAUCCCCAUAUACAUUUAUCUUCUUUAUCUUUAGCUCUAAUGCCGCUUCUAAACCAAGGAUACAAGUUUCAUACUCAGCUGUAUUGUUGGUGCACUCGAAAUGCAGUUUAACCGAAACUGGAUACUGUUUCUUAUUAGGAGAGAUUAUUACUGCACCAUUCCCGUUACCAUAUACAUUCACGGCCCCAUUAAAAAACAUGGUCCACCAAUCUGUCUUCUCUUCUUCUUUUUCUAUUGACAAUAUAUCUUCAUCGGGGAAAUCAAAAUCCAAAGGUUCGUAAUCUUCUACAGCAUUAUCAGUUAGAAGGUCCAUAAUUGCACUCCCUUUUACGGCUUUCCUUGUCAUAUACACUAUGUCAUAUUCUGCUAAUAAAACCUGCCACCUUGCAAUUCAGCUUGAGAGAAAGCGCUUGUUACAAAUAUACCUUAGAGGAUCCACUUUUGAAAUCAACCAAGUGGUAUAGUAUAACAUAUAAUGUCGUAAUCUCUUUGCCGCCCAAACCAGUGCACAACAGAGCCUUUCUAUCUCGGUGUAUCUAACUCACAUUCGGUGAGUUUCUUACUUAAGUAAUAAAUAGCUCUUUCCUUCCUUCCGGUUUCAUCAUGCUGACCCAAUACACAUCCCAUGGUUGCUUCAGUUACUGUUAAAUAUAAUACCAGAGGUUUUCCUGAUACCGGAGGAACCAGUAAAGGUGGAUUUUGUAAAUAAUGUUUGAUUUUAUUGAAUGCAUCCUCACACUCCUCAUUCCAGGUUCCAGGAUUCUUUUUCCUUAAUAGUCGGAAUAUAGGUUCACAUGUUGUUGUUAGUUGAGCUAUAAACCGAGCAAUGUAAUUUAACCUUCCCAAGAAUCCUCUUACUUCUUUCUCCGUCUUAGGGGUUGACAUAGCUUGAAUGGCCCUUAUUUUAUCUGGAUCCACCUCUAUACCUCUAUCACUUACCAUAAAUCCUAACAGCUUACCUGAUUUAACUCCGAAUGAACAUUUUGCAGGAUUGAGCCUUAAUUCAUACUUCCUCAACCUCUCAAAUAACUUCCUCAAAACUUCAAUAUGAUCCUCUCCCUUUUUAGACUUGGCAAUCAUGUCAUCUACAUGCACCUCAAUUUCCUUGUGCAUCAUGUCGUGGAACAGAGUCAUCAUUGCUCUUUGAUAGGUUGCUCCUGCAUUCUUCAAUCCAAAUGGCAUGACCUUGUAGCAGUAUGUCCCCCAAGGUGUGACAAAAGUUGUUUUUGCCUUAUCCUCUGGAGCCAUUUUUAUCUAGUUGUAUCCUGAAAAACCAUCCAUAAAGGAAUAUGUGGAACUUCGGGCAGCGUUGUCCACUAAAACAUCUAUGUGUGGUAGAGGAAAAUCAUCCUUAGGGCUAGCUUUAUUCAAAUUCCGAAAAUCCACGCAAACUCUAAUCUUCCCCUCCUUCUUAGGCACCACAACAAUGUUAGAUACCUAUUGUGGAUAUCUAACUACUUCUAGAAAGCCAGCAUCCCAUUGCUUCUCGAGUUCUGCCUUAACCUUGAUCCAGAUAUCCGGUUGGGCCCUCCUCAGCUUCUGUUUGACUGGUUUACAGCCUUCUUCCAAUGGUAUCUUGUGUACUACAAUAUUUGUAUCCAAACCGGGUAUAUCUUCAUAGGACCAAGCAAAGACAUCUGAAUAUUCUUGUAAUAGGGCGAUCAUUUUUGUCCUUUGUUCAGAAGUAAUUAAGGUACCUAUUUUCAACUCUUUCUUGAGCUGAUCACUGCCCACAUUGAUGGUUUCGAGUUCCUCUGCGGCGGGCUUCCAAGUCUGUUCCCGCUGUUCCACUAGCCUGGUGAAUUCACUGAUAUUGCUUUCAUCCCAUUCUUCUUCUUCCAUAGCUAUCACAUGUUUGUUCAAGUUUGGCCAUUUAUUCUUGAUGCUAAAUGUAUGUGAUGUUGUAGGAGAUCCGCUUUCAGGAUUCCUGAAAGCGGGAAGUGUUUGGUGUAAAUGCAUAAAAAGACAAUUUUGAAAAGUGCAUGAUCUCAUCAUUUAUUUAAAGAAAAGAUGGGUUCAAUGACAAACACAAAAUCUAGCUGACAUCAUGAGCCUUGAUUGUCAACUAGAGAAAAUAAAAGCAAACAAAAGCAAUGACAAAAGCAUGUUAAGGCAAACAAAGUUGGUUUACAUUUUGAAAACUACUGGCGCUUCUUGGGUCACCCAGUUCUGAAACUUCUCGCCCUGAGCCAACUUGCACAUGAAGGUCUUGGCGGAGGCUUCUUCUAGUGUGUGGAUUGUUAGUUGUGGCAGUGCUUCAUCUCCCUUUCCCGCUACUGUCUUCAUGUCAUCUCCUUCCACCUCAUUUUCCUCCAAGGUGUUUAUGCUCAUAUUUGCCAGUUCUUGACCAAGGCUUUCGGCUCCUUUAUCAUGUUGCAUUAUGUAUGCAGCUUUUGGGAAUGACACGCUAAGGGGAGGGAUUUCUAGCUUUUCUUCUUCAGGCUCCCUUCCUUCAAUUCUAGCUAUUCUUCUUUCCCUUCUCCGACCAGCAGCCUACCGAUGAUCCUCCUUGUUAGGUUUAUACCCUAGCCCAAAUCUUUGAUCGGCACAUGUCAUCUUUGCCGGAUUAACCCCUUCUGGUACCCCGACGAUAGGGUUAUACUGAAAUGGGAUCUCGCGUUCCAAGAAGCAUUGAGUUGCCAUCCUUGCUGCUUCUGAGAUCCUUGGCCUUCUCAACACUGUGUUCUCCUGCACCCAGUCAGUGUUCACAAUCUCAAAAGCAUGGAUAUUGUUAUCCUUGCAAUCAUCUGCCUCGAUAAAAGGUACAACCACAUUCUUUAUCAUGGAUACUGUCUCCUCAGCUUUGACAGUUACCAAUAUCCCAUUCAUGAUAUACUUCAGGCAUUGGUGCAAUGAUGAAGCUACGGCCCCCGCUGCAUGAAUCCAAGGUCUUCCUAACAACAUACUAUAGGAAGGGUGAAUAUCCAUAACUUGAAGUGUCACUAGGAACAUUUGUGGUCCCAUAUAUAGCUCCACUUCUAAAGUCCCAAUUAUUGGCCUAGGUGAGCCAUCAUAUGCUCUAGCCAUCAUAGUACUCGGCUUCAUAUGAGAUUCAUCGAUCGGCAUUUCUUUUAGAAUGUGCUUUGGCAACACGUUAAGAGCCGAGCCAUUAUCGACGAGCACUUUUCCUAUUAUGCAAUCCUUGCACCUAACCGUAAUGUAUAAGGGCUUAUUAUGUCCGGUACCUUCAGCAUCAAGCUCGUCAGCCGUGAAGUACAGGUAAUUAGUUGCGUGGAUCCUCUCCAUGAGAUGCUCCAUGGUUUUAUGUUCAAUGUCUUGGGGUACAUACGCCUCAUUCAAUACCUUUUGCAAGGCGUUUCUGUGCGGCUCAGAGCUGAGUAUCAAGGACAUAAGAGAGAUCCUAGCUGGAGUCUUUUUUAGUUGAUCUACUAUGCAAUAUUCGAUAUGCUUGAUCAACUUUAAAAAUUCAUUCGACUCCUCUUCCGUUACCGGCUUAUUAACUUCUAGUACUUUGUCAAGACCUACCACUUUUUUGCCCUUUGCCUUCCUCAACUCCUCGAGCGUAAAGCACCGACCACUCCGGGCCAAACCACUUAUCUCAGUUUGGAACAAAGGAAGAGGAGCUCGAAGGUUGGAGGCCCAACCAUAAUUAUAAGGCAUGGCAUUGUGAUUUCCUUUUGUGCAGAAAGGUUUAACCAAGAUUAACUUUGGCGGCCCAUUAGCUGUUGGUUGGACCCUACAUACUCCUGUCAUCUUAUCUUGACCUUCCAUCAUACUCACCUCACCACUGCCCUCCAUGGGUUCAAUCCUCAAUUCCCCCAUUUUCAGCAUUUUUGCAAUCUUUUCACAAAACUCGAUGCAAUCCUCAAUAUGAUGUCCAUCUCUUCCAUGUAACUCACAAUAAUCAUAUCCCUCCAAAUGGCUUUCAACAUUUGUCUCCAGAAAUCCUGAUUGUACCAACAUGUCGUACAACUUCUUCAUGGACACCUUCAACGCCUUGCACUGAUUUCCAGCUUCUAUCAUGCCAACUCUACUACUACCUGUGACAUGUUUAGGUAAUGGGUUUGAAUUAACAUUGGGCUUGUCUUCAAAGGAUACUCAUCCUAUCUUAAUAAGCUCCAACAACCUCUUCUUGAAAGCGUAGCAGGUUUCAAUCCCAUGCCCGGGAUUACCAGCAUGGUACUCGCAAGUCAACUCGGGCUUGUACCAAAUUGGGAAUGGUGGUUGCAAUGGUAGUGCAGGGAUAAGAGCUAUGUGUCCAAUACUUAACAGUUUGGCAUACAUGUCCUUCAAAGGCAUGGGUAACGGCGGCAGUUGUUCUGAAGUGUAUCUUGUAUUUGGUCUUUGGUCUUUGAUGGUGGUUUUGGUUAUUUGACUGGUUAUUUGUUCGAUUGGGGGGAAAAGGUUGGCUAAUGUUCAUGUGGGAGAAUUGGGAGGUAGGUACUUGUAGAUUAUAAGAAUCUACUCUCUUACCUUUGUAUCCACCUUCUAAGCUGUUAAUAUCACCUUCCCUCUAUCUUCCAAUAAAACCCUUCUUCUCCAACAGCUCAGCUAUACACCCAGCUUUAAUCCCUGAAGGUAUUGGCAUCGCAUCGUAGAAAUGCUGAGAGGAGCUACCCAUUAAAUGCUCAUAAUAAGGUGCCUUGAAGGUAUUGGCAAACAAGGUCACCAUCUCUGUUUCUAUCAAAGGGGGUUGGACAUGCAUUGCCUCAUCCCUCCACCUUUGCGCAUAGGCCCUUACCGACUCUUGGCUCCUUUUCUCCAUUGACAUUAGGCUUGUUCGAUCAGGAGCGAUUUCCAGGUUAAACUUGUACUGCUUAAGGAACGCCUCCACCAAGUCUCUCCAGCUCCUGAUCCUAACACUAUCUAACCUCAUGUACCAGCUCAAAGCGGAUCCUGCGAGGCUAUCUUGAAAGAAAUAGAUUAGCAAUUUAUCAUCGCGGAUUACUUCAGCCAUUUUAUUGCAGUAGGAUCGAAGGUGAGUGUUUUGGGCAUUCCAAACCAGUGUACUUAAUGAACUCUGGUAUCCUAAAAUCUUUUGGCACCACGAUGUUUGGUACCAAACAUACUUCAGCUGCUCAUAUAGGGUCAAACCAGUCAUUACCCUCAACUGCCCUUAAUCUUUCUUCGAAAGCAAACAACUUGUCUUGAUCCAUCAAACUGGGAAACCUAUUAUCCGGGAUUCCCUCCGUUGUUAAGUCCACAGUGAUUGGAGCAUGAGUUGGCUGGAUAGGGGUGAUAGGCACAAAAUGUUGUUCAUUGGUCGAGUUUGCCCCCUGGUUUUGAGAUGCUUGAGGGAUGUGAGCUGCUGGCGCUCCUUAAGGUUGUUGUGCUGAUGUUCCCUUCCCAUUCUUAGCUCUUAGAAGUUGCUCGAGUAGGUCGGUUAGUCGAGAAACUUCAUUUUUUAUGGAUUCCAACUCAGUCUGAUAAUGUGACUCUAAGUGAGCUCUUUCUUCGUUCUCCAUCCGCGAUCUGGACCGGGUAUGGUGGACUUUGGAUGUGGGACCUAUAUUUCAUGAUCUGAAGCAUAUGAUAAAUUAAAAACAAAAUGCAUGAUGAAAAUAUGGUGCACAUGAUGUGAAAAAAAAAUUUAGAGCUGACUCAUGACUUUUGUAAUCCUUUAGGCAAGAUUUCCGAGUCGACCUGAUUACUGUAAAGGAGGGUUUGCCAAGUUCUUAUCAUAGUAGCUUACCAAAACACAUUAGAAAGAAAAAUAAGUCAUGGCCUUCUUAUAAAUAGAAGUCGCUCUUACAAAAUGAUAACAGAAAAGGGCUUUAUACAUCGCUACCCUUAAAAGGCAUUUCCUCUAUUAGCUAAGUCCCCAAUAAAAGAGGUGAUGGCCCUCAUGUAUUCUUGAUACUUUAAAGCAUCAUUUCCAACUUGGGUGGCUUGUUGUUGCAACCUUUCUGCAUAGUGGGCUGCUUGCUCGACCUGCUUUGUCAUAUGCCUUAUCUUAUCAUGGAACACGGUAUUAUCUGUGAUUAUCACUUCGUUGCUGGUUCCUAAGGCUUCAUUACUUCUUUCCAACACUCGAACCAUAUCCUCCGAACGUGCCAACUUAUCCCUUACCCUUUGCAGUUCUUCCUUUUCUAUAUCCAGCUCGGUUAUUUUGGAGUUAAUUUGAACUGCAAAGUUGUCCAUGUAGUCUUGACAUUCUUGAUGUUCUUGCUUAGCCUUACUCAGCUCCUCUUCCAUCUCGAAGUAAUGGCUUCUCAACUCCCUCAACUCUUUUUCUCGUAUCUCGAUCUCAAAUUGUAAAGCCAUCAUCCUUCCUUUCGAAGACUCAGCUCUCUUCUGGUAAUCUCUCAUAUCAGCCUCAGCGGCCUUUCUUGCACUUCUCUCUUCCUCAAGUUGCACCAUAUAUUGAGCUCUGAUCCUUCUUUCCUCUUCUAUGUCGAGCUGGGCUAGCCGAUUCUUCUCUUUUUCAACUUCUACUUUCUUUAAAAGAAUGCUCUUUCCCUUCUUCAAGGAAUCCAUCACCUCUUUGUCAACAUUCAUCUUGCCUUUUGUUGAUCUCUUAACCUUUGCCAACUCUUUUUCUGUAAGCCCAUUCUUCUUAACCAGCUCAUCAUAUUCGGUCAUUCGAUUCCUUAACUCAGCCUGGACCCCUUUUGCUAUUUCUUCAGCUACCUCGGCCCUUUUCUGCCAUUCCUUUAAAGACGUUAACUACUUAUCCUGUUUUUCCAACCGCUGGUUCAAGUAAACCCUCAUCGUAUUUUCUUCCUCUAACUGACUUUCUAAUAGUUGUUGCUGCCCUUUACUUUUGUUGAGAUCAAUUAUACAUCGUUCUAGCUGCUUUCUUAACUCUUCUUCAUUAUCAGUCCUUUUUCUUUUUGGUUGCUCUAUCGCUGAUUGUGGAUAUUUUUGUGUUGAGAAAUCCCUCACUUCAGAAAGCGCUUCAUUCCUCCAAACUGCAUAAUUCUAGCUGAAUGAUGUUUCAAAAUUGCUCCAUUCUUCCCUUUUUACCAUCAGGGGUCUUUCCCAAUCUUGUCGGAUAAGCUCCAUCUCUUCAAGGAAUGGUUGGUACUUGAAUAAACCGACAAAAUCAGCUAAACCCAGAGUUCUUGGUGCAUACUGCAUUCCACCCAACUGCCUUGUUACAAGGGCGGGCGCGUAACUGAUGUACCCGGUUACACCAAUCAAGGGAACCCAUAUCUUGCUUCCACAACUCAUUGUGCAGAUGGCAUUAUUCAUCCAUGGUGCUUUCCAUUUGAAGUUGCUCCUUGGCAAUACUGCAUAUUUAUCUAUCCAUGCUUUCUCAUCCUAGUUCUUCCAAGUCUCAUCCAUGGUAACCUUUAACGGUCGCAGGUCAAACCACCAAAAGUUGUUAAAGAUGUCCCUUGGUGUUUCGAUAUGACUGAUAAUCCAUAAAUACAAAAUAGGGAUGCAACAUCUCAUGGCUCCUUUUCCAUGCGUUCUGCAGUGGUUGAGUGAUAACAUGGUUUCUUCUAAAACGGCUGACGAGGGAUUGAUCCGGUCACGCUCGUAUUCUAUGAAGACACUUGCUGCUUCUAAACUGAUGACUCCGAUUUCGGAAGGGAACAAUACCAGUCCAAAAAUGGCGAAGGCCACCAACCUAUAUCGUUCAUCUCCCAACUUGACUUCUUCAGAAUUUUUCUUCAUUCGGGCUUCAAUGACCUUCCAUUUAAAACCCCCAUCGGCGACUCUACAUUGGCUGAUCUUUCCCAGGCCUAAUAAACUGACUACCUCCGAAGCUGUGUCUUCAAAUCUUCGCCUGAGGUAGAUCCUGUGGUUGUUGUUUGGAAAAUCUAGAAUCCUUUCAUAUUCCUCCAAAUUCGGUGUCAUAUCGAUGUUCCCAAAGGUAAAACACCGAUAACUAGGAUCCCAAAAAUUCAAUAGGGCUUUGAUUGCUGCUGCUUGUACAGGUAACCUCAUUAGUUGUGCAAUUCUCCCAUAUCGCCUUUCAAAAAUAGUCUCAUCAAUAUACUCCAUAAUAGACAAUAACUUCCCCAAGUCAUUUACCAUGUGAUUUAUCUUGGUAAUGCAAGGCAACCUACUAGCAUCGAUUCUUGGACAUUUUUCUUCAGCUACCUGAGUCAACUCAGAUUCUUGCCCAAACUCUUGGAAAGAUAGGUACUUAGUCAUGAUUUCAGCUUAAAAACCUGGAUUGAUGAAUUUAACAUUAUUAAUCAUGAUGCAAAUGAACGUAAGAUACAUAUCCUAAGGACAAGCUCUAUUUAUUAUGUGAGAAUGGGCAAUUUUUUUAUCUGGUCUUGAAGGGGUCUCAUAUCUGCCCAGUGACGUUCUUCGUAAAGACAGUAUGGGGGCGUUGCAAGGAACAGUUAAGGCACGUAUGCCCACCAUUACCAAGCAGGCACUCAGAUAUGAGUUGGGUGUUUCACGCAUCUGAACCCUGACCAAUAGUCAUAGGGCAAAUCGCUAAUCCCCCACCUAACUUAAAGCUUGUGUGUGCUUCUCAAAAUCAAAGUAUGUGAUGCAUGAGACAGUUCUAUACAAUGCAUGAACAGUAGGUGUAAAAAAUUAAAAGCAUAUACGCAAAUAACAAAAGGAAAAACAUAUUAACAAUAACCACACGAAAACACAAACAAAUCAACUUUUUGCGCCUUUUCCAAUUGAUCAAUAAACUUUCAAUUUCUUCAAUUUGGCCCCUGAUUUUGUUAAUUACAGCCCCUAUAUUUACGUGUCUUUUCCAAUUUGGUCCUUGGUUUCGGAUUUCCUCAAUUAAGUCCCUAAUUGGCCAUUAAACUUCAAUAUUUAUACAAUUAAGCCCCUGAUUUGACCAAAUCAACUCUUAGAAAUUAUAAUUUGACCCCAGAACUUUAAUUUCUUCCAAUUAAAGCUCAAAUUGACUUAAAAAUCAACUUUUCUUGCAAUCAAACCCUUUAUAAAUUCAAUUAAACCUUCAAUAAAAUCCAAUUAAGUCCAUAAACAUCCAAUUUUGGACUUUUCUCUUCAAAUUAAAUUUUCUUUUCCCACAGGGGUCUCAUCAUUCAAGUAUAUACUGUAAAAAAUUUCAAUCCUUGUAUUUUUGAACCUCCUUAAUCAAUUUUCUGAUCCUUUCCUGAGCGCUCCAACCUCCUAUUAUUUUUCUAAUUUCUUCCGGCUAUAUAUUUUUAUUUUUAUUUUUAUUUUUGUGUAGGGACCAAAAAAUGGGUUACAACAUGGUGAAACUGGUCGUUGCAUAUGCCAUGAUUCUAUUCUAAAUCCCUCAUAACUUAAUGGGCCCAAAGACGACAUUUAAUCUUAUAGAUGCAUUAACACUUUUUUUUUUAUUGACACAAAUGAUUCUUGAUUUAUUUAAUUAAAUGCAUGUUUAUGCUUUUUUAUUUAUUUAUGAUUAAGAUUUUUUUAUUCAAAAGAAACGUUGAAAAAGUAUGCUUAUUUUUUUUCAAAAAAAAAUUAUUUAAUCCACAGUGAAGCGCGAGUCAAAUAGCUAGUUUAGCCUAUUUGGUGAAACUGGUCGGUGCAUAUGCCAUGAUUCUAUUCUGAAUCCCUCACAACUUAAUGGGCUUAAAGAUGAUAUUUACUAGUAUAGACAACAACUUAAUUCAAACUCAAAAAAUAUCGACCUGACCUAACUUGACCUGAAUUAGUGGGUAUUAUUUGGAUAGUUACCUUAUCCUAAUAUAUACUGGAUAGAGUAUGUGUAUUAUCAAAUCCAAUCUGAAACUUGCCUAAGCCCAAGUCGAGAUAUAUAUUUAUAUUAUUUAGAUAUAUUUAUAGAACAUUUAAAUAUUUUUAAUACAACAUGAUAUAUACAUAUCGCAAUAUUGAUAUAAAACACACACACAUGUAUAAUAUUUAUAAUUUUAGUAUAUACAUACAUACAUAUACAUACAUAUAUAUAAUGAGAAUAAAUAUAUUGAAUUUUAUAAUUUUGUUAAUAUUUAAUGAGAAUAAACAUAUUUUAUUAAACAUGUCAUACCGUAUAAAUCACUAAUAACUAUACAUUUAUUAUUUUCUAAAAAAACCUCAUUUCACAAGUAAAUUUAGUAUUUUAUUUGGUUUGAAAAUUUAGUAAGGUUAGUCUUUAUCAUCAACAUUAUAUUAAUAAUUAUAGAAUACAAUUUUAACAUAAUUUCAAUGAUUUUUAUAAUUUAAAGACUUAAAAAUUCCUUAUGAUUAUUUUAAUGUUUUUUAUAAGAAAAAAUAAUAAUUUAAGAACUUAAAUAUAAAGUUUGUCUAUCACAAAAAAAAAACUAAAACAAAAUGUAAAGAAAUAAAAAAAAAAGUCAAGCGAGCCUAGCAUGCACACUUAGGCCAAGCGUUUUAGGCCCAUUUGUAAGAAGAUUGAAGUAAAUGACGCGUUGUUUAAACCAUCUUCUUUUUCGAUGACUAGAAUCUAAAAAUUCUGUUUUAUCCCCCACGCCUAUUUUUUACAGCUUUUGUUUUUAAUAAAAAUACCUAAUAUAUAUAUAUAUAUAUAUAUAUAUAUAUAUAUAUAUAUAUAUAUAUAUAGAGAGAGAGAGAGAGAGAGAGAGAGUAACAAACACAAAGCAUAUUAAUUUUGCAGAAAUGUAAAUAUAUAGUAGGAUAAUGAGAUCUAAAGUAAAGAAUCUUACUUAAAUUUGUAUAGAAAUCAAUACAUGAGAUAUUGGUUAGAGGAGUAUGUUUACAAAGAAUUUUCUUCAGUGUAUUUUGCUCUGCCUUUUGAAGCUUAUGAGGUCUUCUUUUACAGUGGAGCUGUCAUGAAAGAGGCCAAAAGACUUUUUGAAAGGCUGAAGAUUCUUUUUGGCGCUUUUUAGUUGGCUAUAUGUUCUUGUUCCCUAUGGUUAAGAGACGACAAUCAUGGAAAUUUCCUUUAAAUUUUAUAGGGUUUUUCUUUAUUGUCUUCUUAUUCACCGAUAGUUGAUUUGUUGUUUAGUAGCAUCAUGAGAUUUUGUAGAAAAAGACCUAAAACAAUGGGCCUGAAAAAAGAGUUUGAAAAUGAAAAGACUGAGCCUAGAAGAAGGGCUCAAAACAAGAGAGCCUAAAAGAUCUUGAAAAUACUUUUUUUUUUAUGGAUUUUGUAAAGAUUGUAGGAUGCCAUAGCAAUUAUCUUCAUUUUCAUUACUGAGAGAAGUAUAUGAUCCUGAGGAUGAGGAGGCUGAAGAAGAGGAAAACAUAAAUUCUCCUUUUCCACUAUUUAGGAGUUGUUUCAUGACCUCAAAACAUUCUUCUUUGGACUUGGCAGUUGCCAAAAGUGCUGAGGCAUGGGCUUUUUGGGCGAGGAAAAGGGAUUGAGACUGGUCUUGUAGAGUUGGUGGUUUUUUAAUGCCAUGUCUAUUGUUUGAAGAAAACUAUAACAUUACAGUAGAUUCAAAGCAUUUAUUUUUUGCCUCAAAAGAGCCCUACCAUUUGACUUUGUAUUUUCUUAUCAAAAUUACAUGAGUAUUUUAGUCGUUAUAGUCAAAGUACCACGAGCAUACCUAAGACACAAAGAAUUUGGAACAAAACAUAAGCAUUGGGGGAAAUUUCUUUUCUUUCUUGGUACCUUUGAAAUUCUAUUUGAAACGUUUGUAGCCCUUUUCAACCAUAGGGUGUGGGUGAAGGAGUUCAGUAAUACAACCAAGGUAAUCCUACCAUUAACGGAACCAAUUUGGUAGUUUUGUAGUAUUAAUAGAGUUAUCAAAAUAAAAUAAUCAAGAAUGGCUUUCUUUGGAGUUUUGGAGAAAGAAAGCAUUAAAUCAUGCCUAUUGGUGGUCUCGAUAGGAAUAAGUUUGGCAAUGGUUAUUUAAUUUGGUAUGGAAGUUGAUAGGAAACGGAUCCCAUGAUGAAGAAGUUGUUUCCAAUCAGUUGGAUGGAGGACAUCUUUAAUGAUACCGGUGGAAUAGGCUGAUUCAAUAUAAUAUUGUUUGAGGUUAAAAUGUUUAAAUUUUAAAAAACCUGUAAUUUCAAGGAUGACCAUAUAGAAAGCAUAGGUUUUUGUAGUUGUUUCCAAUUAGUUUUGAAGAUGUUUUUAUGAAAUUGGUUUGAGAUAAUGAAAAAUUUAUAGAUUGAAGGAGAGGUUUUUGAGAAGAAGAUUGCUUGGGUUUUGAAAUUAGUGUAGAAGUUUUACCUCAUUGAGAGGAUUCAUCCUUUUGAGAGGACUUCUAGCUGAAAUUUUGUAAGGUUAGAAGUAAUUCUAGAGAUUUGGAUAGAGUUUCUACCAAAUUUUAUACUUUAUCACUUUGGAUUGCUGAAGGAUUUGUUACUUUCUCUUCAACAAUAACUGCAUCGUACCAAGAAGUUAUUGGUUUUGCAUAAGAUAUAGUAGAAGCCACAAGUUUUUGGAGUGCUUUGGGUUUUUUGUGGUUUUGUAGGUGCUGACCGAGGGGUUUUGCCCUUAUAUUUGGAUUAGGGAGGCAACAGGACCUGUUUUGGAGAAAUUUGUGAGUUAGAAAAUCAGGAAUGAAAUUUGUAUCGCCUUUUAUAUACUCAAUAUCAAAAUAAAAAAUACUUAAUAUAGCUUGCUAUCUAGCAAAAAUCUAUUUUGAAGCAAUAUUUUGAACAUCUUUUUGUAAAACUUCUUUAGAAGAUUUGUAAUCAAUACGUAAUAGGAAUUGUUUGUUUAAUAAGUCGCUUUGAAAUUUUAUAAUACAUAGAACAAUUGAAAGAAUUCUUUUCUUGAUAGUAGAGUAAUUCUUUUGACAAUCAUUCCAAUGAACAGAUGUAAAUUGAAGAAUUUAUUGUUUGGAAUUUUGAACUUGUUUGAGAAUUCCCCUAUACUCUAAUUCUGACUCAUCUAUUUCUACAAUCUUAGAAGCUAAGGGAUUGGCUAGAUGAAGACAAAGGAUUUCUUGCACUUGUUUUUUAAUCUGACGAAUAAGAGCAGUAUGUGCAUCGGAUUAUGGUACUGAGUUUUUUUUUUUAUCAUCUAUUAUGAAGGGGUUUUGCAACUCUACUAAUAUUAGGAUAAAGUCUAAAACAUAAUUUAGACUUCUCAGGAACCUUUGUAACUGAGGUUUAUCAAGGAUUUUAUCAGGGAAUUUGUUAGCAAAGGUAAGGGGUCUUUUAAUGGGUGUGAUGAUACCUUGGGAGAUAUAAUGACCGAAAAAACAAAAACGAGUUUGAAACAGAGAAAUCUUUGAUUUGGAGACAACUAAAUCAUUUUGUUUUGUAACAUGAAAGAAUGUUUGUAGGUGUUUAAAAUGUUACUCUAAUGAGUUUGAAAAUAUAUGAACAUCAUCAAUAUAAACUAUAUAAAAUAUGGAGUAUGCAUUAAAUUUGUCAUUUAUUAUCCUUUGGAAUUUAGAUGGUGCAUUUUUUAAACCAAAUGGCAUAACAUUCCAUUUAUACUGACCAAAAAGAAUUGUGAAUGCAAUUUUGUAACAGGCUUUAGGAUGAAUUUGAAUUUGCCAAAACCCUGAUUUCAUAUCAAACUUAGAAAAUAUAAAAGCAAAAUGCAAUUUUUGUAAUAAAUCUUUCUUAUUUGGAAUUGGAUAUCUAAUCCACUUUAAAGCUCUAUUUAUUAGUUUGUAAUUGAUCACAAGUCUAGGUGUGCCGUUUUCUAUUUUAGAAUUUUUGUUGACAUAAAAUGCAGCAGAAGACCAAGGUGAUCUGGACUUUAUAUCAGACCUUUAGACUCCAAAUCUUGAAUUUUGAGUCUACAGUGUUGUUCUAAUUCAGCAUUCAUUUGGAAAGGUCUUGCUUUUAUAGGUAUUAUAUUUUCAGAAAAGUUAUCUUCAUAGGGAACAUCAACAACAUGUUGUUUUCUUUUUCAAAAAGCAUUUGGCAGAUCAAAACAAAUUUCAUGUUUGAUCUUGUUUCGGAAAUCUGAAAUUCUUUUUUGUAAAACAAAAUUAUGUAAUUGUUGUUCAAUUCUUUGUAAAAAACAUCUUUUUUCAAAUGAUGUAAAUGAAAUUGUUUUUCAUGGAUCAAUGUAUUGAUCUGAUAUUUAUGUAUAGAACAUGCUUUGAUUAGAUUCAGAUUUCUAGUUUUUUAUUUUUCUAGGAUAGGGAAAACAAGUUUCACACCAUUAAUUUUUGAAGUAAUGCAGUCAUGUAUGGCUUUGUAAGGGGUAAUUAUGUCUAUGAAUAGAGUUCCAAGAAUGAUGGUAUGAUUGAUGUCAUUUGUAACAACAACAAAAAAACUUAAGAUAAAAACCAUUGUUGAGAAUGGAUGCUUGAGUUUUUCCUAAAAGAUGAAGUUUGAGAUUGUUUGUUGUAGAAAGUCUUUCAAAAGUAUUUUGAAGAAAUUAUUUAGGAACUACUUCUUUUUUGAUACAAUUUAAAUCAACACAUAUAUCAAACAAGACAAUAGUUUCUAACUUGUAGUCUUCUGAAAAAACUAAAGUAUUUUUUAUUAAAUAUUGUUUUUGAAGUAAUUUGUGUUAAAACAUUUAAAUAGUCUUCAGGAAUAUGUUCGAUGUUUGAUAAUGCAUGAUCUACUGCAUGAGUCUCAAGAGUUUAUUCUUUAGAUUCUGGUUCAGAAUCUGACUGGCUUUCUAACUUGGUCAGGAGGUAUUGUAAUAUGAGUGAGUCUUUUUGUUGGGCUUAUGUAAGGGUUUGUAACUCAGAUUUAAGGGUCUUAAUUUCUGACUGUAACUCUAGGAUAAUAGCUAUAGGUUUGGAUUUAUUUUUCUUGUGGAGAAUUUUUGUAAGAUCAUAAGUGUUGGCACUGCUUGUAAAUAAGAUGGAAUAGUUUUUGAUAAGUUGGGAUGUCUCAAGUUUCUUAAAAUUAUUCAAUAACUUAUCUAAAUAUGAUUUUUGUAAUCAGACCAAUCUUUUGAUGAUUCAAAUUAAUGUCAUCAUUUACAGUGAAAGACCUUUCUAUUUUAAUUUUAGUUUUUUUAAUUAAUUAUUUACACUGAAAUGAGAAAAAUUACCUUUAUGUCCAACGAUGUCAUUUUGAGGUUUGAUAAACAAUGUGCAACAGUGAUUAUGAACGAAAAAUGCAAUUUUUGUUUGUUAAUUGUUGAUGAUACAGCUCAAUAAACAAUAAGAAAUGAAUAUUAAUUUCGUGAUUACGAAUCUGAAUUGAAAAAAACUGUCCUUUUACUUUCUCUGGUCACUUAAUCAAAUUCAAUUAGAAGGAGAGAGAAGCCAGUUUAGUAUUGAAUCAUCAUACUCAAGAGGCAACAUUAAUUCAAAUAUGCUUAAAAUUUGAUUUCAAUAAUUGAAUGAAAGAAUGAUUAAAUCAAAGAAUAAUCUCUCUUACAGCUCCACGUUUACUCUCAUACAUACACUAAUGCUAUCCCUUCUCAAAUUAAAGUGGAACAAGUUGAAGUUGAAGGGUCAAAUAAAGCUGGAAGCACGUAUUUCCUUCCAUUAACACCAUGAGCAUUAUAGCUAGCACCAGUUGUAGAGUCCACUAACAAAUCCCCAGCAUAACCAGGAUACGCACCCUUACCAUAGACCCCAGGACAAGCAGAUGCGGCCUCAAGAGGAGCCUCCUUUGGACCCUGGAAAUAGCCAUUUUCAAAUGGGUUUGUUGCAGUCCCAGCCAAAAGACUAGCCAGAUUGAUUACCAUACCAUCAAGACCCACAUCAUUGUUGGGUGCAACCAAUGGAGGGUUCUGUGGUCCAUAGAUUGGCUGGUGGAAUGGCCACGCACAUUGACCGGGGCAUUGAGUCUCAGAGUUACCAACCCAAAUGUAAGCAAAUUUCGAUCUCUUACCAUUGAUUUUUUUAGCACUCAAAGAGGACCCAUGAGUGCCACAUUUACUAGAGCAAAACCCUUCAACAGCAACAUCAGAUGAUGUCAAAACAACGUUGAUUGCACCCUUUUGACCACCCUUUGAUGCUAGCUGCACGAUUUGCUUGCUGGAGAGCGAUUUCCCCAAUGAAUACCUCUCGUCUAAAAUCUGUGCUCCUACAGAGAGGAGAAGAGGAGAGGUUUUCUUCGUCUUGACAAGGUUGUAAUAUUUCUCAGUAGCUUUCCACCACGUGGCAACAGAGGGUUGGGCUGUUGUGGGUCUUCUAGAAGAGACAGAGGCAAUAAAAUCUGAGACAAUAGCACGCUGAGAUGGCUUAAACUUGCCAUACCAGAUCAAGUUGAUCGAAA